AUACAUGCAGUCGACGCUUCUUUUUCCACCGGAGCUUGCUCCACCGGAAAAAGAGGAGUGGCGAACGGGUGAGUAACACGUGGGUAACCUGCCCAUCAGAAGGGGAUAACACUUGGAAACAGGUGCUAAUACCGUAUAACAAUCAAAACCGCAUGGUUUUGAUUUGAAAGGCGCUUUCGGGUGUCGCUGAUGGAUGGACCCGCGGUGCAUUAGCUAGUUGGUGAGGUAACGGCUCACCAAGGCCACGAUGCAUAGCCGACCUGAGAGGGUGAUCGGCCACAUUGGGACUGAGACACGCCCAAACUCCUACGGGAGGCAGCAGUAGGGAAUCUUCGGCAAUGGACGAAAGUCUGACCGAGCAACGCCGCGUGAGUGAAGAAGGUUUUCGGAUCGUAAAACUCUGUUGUUAGAGAAGAACAAGGAUGAGAGUAACUGUCAUCCCUGUA
This 446-nucleotide ribosomal RNA is filed under the name Enterococcus faecium. RNAcentral's name for it is "bacterial SSU rRNA". It matches the Rfam family "Bacterial small subunit ribosomal RNA", at positions 51 to 477 of the family's 1533-position model. Lineage: Bacteria; Bacillati; Bacillota; Bacilli; Lactobacillales; Enterococcaceae. The record is from RNAcentral.